AACGAACGCUGGCGGCAGGCUUAACACAUGCAAGUCGAGCGCCCCGCAAGGGGAGCGGCAGACGGGUGAGUAACGCGUGGGAAUCUACCCUUUGCUACGGAAUAACGCAGGGAAACUUGUGCUAAUACCGUAUGUGUCCUUCGGGAGAAAGAUUUAUCGGCAAGAGAUGAGCCCGCGUUGGAUUAGCUAGUUGGUGGGGUAAAGGCCUACCAAGGCGACGAUCCAUAGCUGGUCUGAGAGGAUGAUCAACCACAUUGGGACUGAGACACGGCCCAAACUCCUACGGGAGGCAGCAGUGGGGAAUAUUGGACAAUGGGCGCAAGCCUGAUCCAGCCAUGCCGCGUGAGUGAUGAAGGCCCUAGGGUUGUAAAGCUCUUUCACCGGAGAAGAUAAUGACGGUUUCCGGAGAAGAAGCCCCGGCUAACUUCGUGCCAGCCGCC
This 440-nucleotide ribosomal RNA is filed under the name uncultured Hyphomicrobiales bacterium. Its description in RNAcentral is "bacterial SSU rRNA". It matches the Rfam family "Bacterial small subunit ribosomal RNA", at positions 29 to 516 of the family's 1533-position model. The record is from RNAcentral. Lineage: Bacteria; Pseudomonadati; Pseudomonadota; Alphaproteobacteria; Hyphomicrobiales.